This 366-nucleotide ribosomal RNA is filed under the name uncultured Acholeplasma sp. RNAcentral's name for it is "bacterial SSU rRNA". It matches the Rfam family "Bacterial small subunit ribosomal RNA", at positions 1014 to 1382 of the family's 1533-position model. Lineage: Bacteria; Bacillati; Mycoplasmatota; Mollicutes; Acholeplasmatales; Acholeplasmataceae. The record is from RNAcentral.
UAGUGGAGGUUAUCAAGGAGACAGGUGGUGCAUGUUGUCGUCAGCUCGUGUCGUGAGAUGUUGGGUUAAGUCCCGCAACGAGCGCAACCCUUAUUGCUAGUUACCAUCAUUAAGUUGGGGACUCUAGCGAGACUGCCAGUGAUAAACUGGAGGAAGGUGGGGAUGACGUCAAAUCAUCAUGCCCCUUAUGACCUGGGCUACAAACGUGAUACAAUGGCCGGUACAGACGGACGCAAAGCCGCGAGGUGGAGCAAAUCCUAAAAAGCCGGUCUCAGUUCGGAUUGCAGGCUGCAAUUCGCCUGCAUGAAGUCGGAAUCGCUAGUAAUCGCAGGUCAGCAUACUGCGGUGAAUACGUUCCCGGGCCUU